RNAcentral lists this ribosomal RNA (446 nucleotides) under uncultured bacterium. RNAcentral's name for it is "partial 16S ribosomal RNA". It matches the Rfam family "Bacterial small subunit ribosomal RNA", at positions 338 to 795 of the family's 1533-position model. The record is from RNAcentral.
CCUACGGGUGGCAGCAGUCGAGAAUCAUUCACAAUGGGGGAAACCCUGAUGGUGCGACGCCGCGUGGGGGAAUGAAGGUCUUCGGAUUGUAAACCCCUGUCAUGUGGGAGCAAAUUAAAAAGAUAGUACCACAAUAGGAAGAGACGGCUAACUCUGUGCCAGCAGCCGCGGUAAUACAGAGGUCUCAAGCGUUGUUCGGAAUCCCUGGGCGUAAAGCGUGCGUAGGCUGUUUCGUAAGUCGUGUGUGAAAGGCGCGGGCUCAACCCGCGGACGGCACAUGAUACUGCGAGACUAGAGUAAGGGAGGGGGAGCCGGAAUUCUCGGUGUAGCAGUGAAAUGCGUAGAUAUCGAGAGGAACACUCGUGGCGAAGGCGGGUUCCUGGACAUUAACUGACGCUGAGGCACGAAGGCCAGGGGAGCGAAAGGGAUUAGAUACCCGAGUAGUC